CAGGUGAGAUUAUGACUUUGAUAUGCAGACACAGCUAACAGUAUUGUCGCCUUGGUGCUAGGCCCAGCAGUACAACUCAAUUCUUUUUUAGGACUGUGAGCCCUAGGAGCAGCAAAAGUCACAUCAACUAGGUGCUGGGUCCAGUAAUAUGUCACCAUAUCCCUUGACAAGACAGCACAGUUUCAGAUAUGACAGUCAACACAUCCUGAAUGUUGGGUCCAACUACAUGAGGCACGUCUCAUCAGUGAACCAGAUCUAUGCGUCAUAGCCUCAAUUCCUAUUGCAUGUUGUGUUGACUUAAUGGAGUCCCAGUUUUCUUGGUGUGCUGAAUCCUGGUCUGAGAGUCACCAACCCACCUGUGGACCACAUUUAUGUAUAAGAGCCUUUUUUAAAAAAAAUCUUCUGACUGCCUCUGGUUGUUAGAUUUAGAACCUCA
Molecule: long non-coding RNA, 436 nt
Filed under: Homo sapiens (human)
Lineage: Eukaryota; Metazoa; Chordata; Mammalia; Primates; Hominidae
Description: HSALNT0257290
Source: RNAcentral